This 702-nucleotide ribosomal RNA is filed under the name uncultured Bradyrhizobium sp. RNAcentral's name for it is "bacterial SSU rRNA". It matches the Rfam family "Bacterial small subunit ribosomal RNA", at positions 28 to 774 of the family's 1533-position model. Lineage: Bacteria; Pseudomonadati; Pseudomonadota; Alphaproteobacteria; Hyphomicrobiales; Nitrobacteraceae. The record is from RNAcentral.
AGCGAACGCUGGCGGCAGGCUUAACACAUGCAAGUCGAGCGGGCGUAGCAAUACGUCAGCGGCAGACGGGUGAGUAACGCGUGGGAACGUACCUUUUGGUUCGGAACAACACAGGGAAACUUGUGCUAAUACCGGAUAAGCCCUUACGGGGAAAGAUUUAUCGCCGAAAGAUCGGCCCGCGUCUGAUUAGCUAGUUGGUAGGGUAAUGGCCUACCAAGGCGACGAUCAGUAGCUGGUCUGAGAGGAUGAUCAGCCACAUUGGGACUGAGACACGGCCCAAACUCCUACGGGAGGCAGCAGUGGGGAAUAUUGGACAAUGGGGGCAACCCUGAUCCAGCCAUGCCGCGUGAGUGAUGAAGGCCCUAGGGUUGUAAAGCUCUUUUGUGCGGGAAGAUAAUGACGGUACCGCAAGAAUAAGCCCCGGCUAACUUCGUGCCAGCAGCCGCGGUAAUACGAAGGGGGCUAGCGUUGCUCGGAAUCACUGGGCGUAAAGGGUGCGUAGGCGGGUUUUUAAGUCAGGGGUGAAAUCCUGGAGCUCAACUCCAGAACUGCCUUUGAUACUGAAGAUCUUGAGUCCGGGAGAGGUGAGUGGAACUGCGAGUGUAGAGGUGAAAUUCGUAGAUAUUCGCAAGAACACCAGUGGCGAAGGCGGCUCACUGGCCCGGUACUGACGCUGAGGCACGAAAGCGUGGGGAGCAAGCA